RNAcentral lists this transfer RNA (77 nucleotides) under Planctomycetota bacterium. RNAcentral's name for it is "Planctomycetes bacterium tRNA-Met". It matches the Rfam family "tRNA". From Rfam's summary of the family: Transfer RNA (tRNA) molecules are approximately 80 nucleotides in length. Their secondary structure includes four short double-helical elements and three loops (D, anti-codon, and T loops). Lineage: Bacteria; Pseudomonadati; Planctomycetota. The record is from RNAcentral.
GGCGGCGUAGCUCAGUUGGUUAGAGCGGGGGAUUCAUAAGCCCUAGGUCACUGGUUCGAGUCCAGUCGCCGCUACCA